This 301-nucleotide ribosomal RNA is filed under the name uncultured bacterium. RNAcentral describes it as "partial 16S ribosomal RNA". It matches the Rfam family "Bacterial small subunit ribosomal RNA", at positions 509 to 807 of the family's 1533-position model. The record is from RNAcentral.
CAGCAGCCGCGGGAAUACGAGGGGGGCAAGCGUUGCUCGGAAUGACUGGGCGUAAAGGGCGCGUAGGCGGAUUGUUUAGUUAGGCGUGAAAUUCCUGGGCUUAACCUGGGGACUGCGCUUAAUACAGGCAGUCUAGAGUGAGGAAGAGGGUUGUGGAAUUCCCAGUGUAGAGGUGAAAUUCGUAGAUAUUGGGAAGAACACCGGUGGCGAAGGCGGCAACCUGGUCCUUGACUGACGCUGAGGCGCGAAAGCGUGGGGAGCAAACAGGAUUAGAUACCCCCGUAGUCCCUGUCUCUUAUAC